UACGAAGGGCGCAAGCGUUAUUCGGAAUUACUGGGCGUAAAGCGUGCGUAGGCGGUUUGUUAAGUCCGCUGUGAAAGCCCGGGGCUCAACCUGGGAAUUGCAGUGGAUACUGGCAAGCUAGAGUGCGGUAGAGGAUGGUGGAAUUCCCGGUGUAGCGGUGAAAUGCGCAGAUAUCGGGAGGAACACCCGUGGCGAAGGCGGCCAUCUGGACCAGAACUGACGCUGAGGCACGAAAGCGUGGGGAGCAAACAGG
RNAcentral lists this ribosomal RNA (253 nucleotides) under uncultured bacterium. RNAcentral describes it as "partial 16S ribosomal RNA". It matches the Rfam family "Bacterial small subunit ribosomal RNA", at positions 524 to 776 of the family's 1533-position model. The record is from RNAcentral.